UACGUACUGAAGCAUUCGGAAAUGCUGCUCGAUACGCUACAGAAAUAUACCGGAAAGAUGCAUCUGGCAACAUUCAGAAGCUCAUGUUCGAUAAGUUUGAUGCUGCAGAACUCAAGUCCUCCUUAAAACCAGGGACCUGUGUGGAUGCAUUCCUGUCCUUAGAUCCAUAUGACUAUCAGCAGCGUGCAGGCAUCCGAUUAGUGGCCGAAAAGUUAAUUAUUCAUUACGAGUAACAAAAGGGAAAGGACCUCUUGGAGGAUCAUCAUUUGAUGGUUAACAAUACCAACGAUAAUGUAAUGUACCCCAAUGUUACCAAUACAAUGUUGCCAAAUGGACAACAAGAACAAUCUGGAAAAAGCGCUUCAUAAUGAAUUGCCCUUCGCCCCUGCUUUUGCUUCUCCGCUAGUGUCAAAAUCAUGGAUAUUGUUUAAGCUCAAAACUGUGGAAAUAGACCACCAAACGUGGCCCUACUGAAACAAACUUUUCAUAAGCUACUCAUUAGUCGCUCCAAGCCAAGAGUUAUGUUAUGUUGGUUGAUUUCCUUUGUCGCCCCACAAUAAAUACUUUCUGUUAACGGACAGUGUGUCAGUGUCAACUAAUGGUAAAUUUGAGGGAAAAAUGUCGGGUAAAAAUGGGAUUUUGUUUUGUCUUGAGGCAUAAUAUAAGGUUUUGUUGGCUUUGGGUGUUUGGAAAGAAGCGGUUCCCUCAGCUUCGACGGUUGCCGUUUUAACAAAAUUCCAGACGGCUUUUUCUUGUAGCUAGUAACAUGUAAUUCUUUUUGGUCCUCUGUCUCCAACUCAUCCUCGUCACCACAUAUUCUCCUAAAACUGAAUUAAACAGAAAUUGAGUUUAAUCUGUACAGGCACAUUUGAUGAUGAUAUGCCUGAGUGGAGGGGAGCGUGGUUUUGGGGUGUGCACGUUUGCUGUUUGAUGAUAUGCCUGAGAGAAGUGUUGUGAGUUGGAAUUCGUUGCUUAAGGGGUAUGUUAAGUGUGGAGAUAUUGACGGGGCACGGUAGGUUUUUGAUGAGAUGCCACACAGGAAUGUCGUUUCCUGGACGACCAUGAUUUCGGGGUGUGCUCAGAAUGGGAAGUCCAAGCAAGCGUUGUCUUUGUUUAACGAGGUGAGAAGAGGCCGUGUGGGAUUGGACCAAGUGGCGUUGGUGUCAGCUUUAUCGGCUUGUGCUGAAAUAGGGGAUUUGAAGUUAGGAAAGUGGAUACCUUCAUAUGUUGAGGAGAAAUUUUCUGUUGGAAGAGAGCCAGUUUUAGUAUCUUUGAAUAAUGCACUUAUUCAUAUGUAUGCUAGUUGUAGUGAGAUUGAAGAAGCCUACGGACUGUUUAGAAAAAAUGCAGAGGAGGAAUACUGUUUUUUGGACAAGCAUGAUUAAGGGAUUUGCGAAGCAGGGCUAUUCUUGUUUUCUUUGAAUGGAUGCGGAGCUUGGGAGUGAAGGAAGCAAGACUGGAUGAGCUAACCUUCUUAGGUGAUCUGAGUGCUUGUAGCCACGGUGGCUUUGUUGAUGAGGACCGCCAAUUUUUUGAGUGCAUGAAUCAAAAUUGGGGAAUCAAACCAAGGAUUGAGCACUAUGGGUGCAUGGCAGAUCUCUUCAGCCGUGCUGGUUUAUUGGAUGAAGCUUUCAGUCUUGUUCAGAAUAUGCCCAUGAAACCAAAUGAUGCUGUGUGAGGUCUCCUUCUUGGUUGAAGAAUUCGUAACAAUGCUGAGCUUGCGUCACAAGUCGCUCAGAAAUCGGUGGCUGAGAUUGACCCUGAGCAAGCUGCUGGCUAUCUUGCACUUUUGGCUAAUGUGUAUGCUACUGCUAAAAAGGUGGCAGGAUGUUGCUGCUGUGAGACAGAAGAUGAUUAAGUUGGGUGUAAGAAAGCCUCCAGGUCGAAGUUGGGUCCAAAUUAAUGGUGUUCUUCUUGAUUAUGUGGGUGGUGACAGUGCCCACAAGCAUGCAUCUUUAAUUUAUAAGAUGCUUGGUGAGAUCACCAUGCAAGCUAUGCGGGAAGGCUACAACCCAGACCUAUCGGAGCUGUUUUUGGGCAUCAAGGAAUAAGACAGGUAGCAAGAGAAAUUUGCUUUGUGUUAACGAACUGCAUCUCGCGUUGAGUUCAUUUACUGGAGUUGCUACAGUUCUUGUGAUCAUUCAUUUGUAUUCUCAUAGGCAUUAGGCAGUUUUUCAUCUUAUAAGGUGGCAAAACUUUCUCCAAUCUCCCGAAAAGUGUAAAAUUCAUGUAAACUACUUGCUUGCUUGCUAGUUGCUGUCUAAAGAAAUUGCAAAGUGUUUAUGAAAAGAAAAUUUUAUUGAUAUUGAUUUUGGGUACAAGUUGAGUGCUUGCUUGUUCGUGUAUUCACUUACACAUUCAUGCAUCUUGACUUGAGACUCUUUAUAUACAACUCAAGACUCUGGUCAAGACUUUGGACCAUUAUUGACAUUGAUUACAAAAGACAAAAGUAGAAAAUGACUCUUUAUAUGUGGUGAAAAGUCAACGAUUAAUUAAAAAGGUACAAACUGACUAAUUAGUACUAUUAUAGUGACUCACUAUUUAUAAACAGUAACUGUUUACUAUUUUAAGUGAUGACUCACUGUCGGUAAGAAAAGACAAAAUGAAAAAUGUGUUUUUACAGUUUUUCCUUUAUCGAGUAGCGAAUAAAGGUUAUCUAUAAAACUACGUGACUCUAUCUACUUUAAUUUUACACUGAUUUUGGCUACUGCUGACUAAUCUUCCAUGUCGUUUUUUAUGUUGUCUGAUUCUUUACUUUCCAAGUCAUCCUACCAUUUUGUCUUUUCUUACCAACAGUGAGUUAUCACUUAAAAUAGUAGUCGGUUACUGUUUAUAGAUAGUGAGUCACUAUAAAAGUACUAGUUAGCCGGUUUGUACUUUUUAAAUAUUCUUUCCACAUAUGCAUGCAAUUGCGGGAAGACCUUUAUCUUUUUUGUGUCUCCAAAUUAAUAGUAGACAAGCCAAGAACCCUGGAACAUGAUGCACGAUUGUGUUGAAAUAGAAUAUCAAUCAGACAAUUCAUUCAUCAUUUCUUGCAACUUUCACAAUUACUGCCAUCAUUUUGCGUAAAAAGAACUAUGACCAAAUCCAAAUGCUUUUGAGCAAGGCAAGUGCUAAUAGUGAUUAUGUUUGAUUAGCUAACUACAAAGCCAAAACUUCAAUAUGCUAGGCAUAUUCUAUUCAGUAUUCAGCAAGAAACUAUGCUGGUUUGGACCCUUGGAGGAGGAAACGUGAGACAGAGUGCGCGUUAAGAGAAAACCCCAAUGAUUAGCUAAGAUAUUGCUUGGAAAUUUAAAAUUACGGCUUUGGUUCUACUUGUACACGAACGCAAGGAAUAAUUCCUAGUGCACAUUCUCAAUUUACUUGUUGCGUAGGGUUUCUAAUUUCUUGUAAUGUGUCCAUAUCCAAUUUCUUGGCAGCAUGUUACCCAUUCCCCUCAUUUUAACUUCUUUUAUCCUUUUAAUAAUUAGUACUGAAUCUUCAAACCCGUUUAGGAUGAGAUUGGAUUAAGCUAAGAUAAGCUAUUAAUUAAAUGAACUAUAUUUUGCAUUAUGAAACUCAAAGCAUUUGAAUUUAUAGUUUAUUUUUCUGUUCUGUUUAUUCUCUGAUAAUCAAUCCUUACAUUCAUUAUAUAAAAAGAAUGAUGCAAUAUGGUAUGCCCAUCCUCUAAUAUAUUGAGUUUUGACAGUUACACAUGCGUUUUGAAAUUGGAACAAUUAUGUACUUGAAAAAAAUAAAUAAAUAAACGCUUCACUUAUUGAAUAAAUGAUUCUAGUGAGACCAUCCAAAAUAAGCUAAUUGUAACAUUUUUUUAGAAAUGUAAUAUUAAAAGAGAUUAAUAAAUGAUAAGAUGGGGCAAUGGUAAGAGGGACCUGCUCAAAUUUAUUGAACCCAUUGCUUGAAAUUCAUUCCUCUUUCAUAACUAAUUAUUUAUAUUCUAUAUUUUAUAGAAACACUUUUUUUUCUUUUGGGACAUUACCAUUACACUACCUUUAUUUUGUUUUAUAUUCAUUCAACCACUACAAAAUUCUAACAUGAUUUCUGUACCACAUUUUUUUUUUAAUUUGUAUAAAUUAGCUACUUUUACACAAAUACUGUUAAAUAAUUAAAACAAAAUGAUAAUUUUACCCAAAAAAAUAAAAGAUCAUUUUAUUUUUAAAAAAUUUGAAAAAAAAUAAUUUAAAAAAUAUCCCUAAAUUUAAUAAAAAAUAAAUUUCAAAUAGAGGUUCUUAGCUGAUUUUUAUUAAAUUUAGAUUUUGUAAAGUUUUAAUAAUUCUUUUUAUUAAAAAAUUAUAAUUUUGUAAAAUUUUAUUAAAAUAACUGAAUUUAUUUAUUAAAAAAUCCUUUAUUAAAAAAUAAAAAUUAUAAUUUUGAGAUUUGUUUCUCAAUUAAAUUUAGGAGUAUUUUUAUAAUUAUAAUUUUUUUAUUUUUCAAAUUUUUUACAAAAUAAAAUAGACUUUUAAUUUAUUUAGAGGUAAAAUUGGUAUUUCAUUUAAAUUAUUGAAUGAUGUUUGUGUAAAAGUGAUUAAUUGAUAUAAAUUUUAAAAAUAUGAUGGUUCAGAAAAUACAUUAAAAUUUUGUGGUGGUUGAAUGAAUAUAAUAUAAAUCAGGGAUGAUUUUUUUUUCUUAAAUGUGAAUUUUUUCAUGCGUGACAGCAAGUUAAUAAUUCGGUGACCCAUUCAACAAGCAAUCGAAGGAAAAAAUACUCUAUAAAUAUCCAAUCGAAUUCGCGCCUUCGUUACCGUUUACCGAUAAUUUCACCUCAGUCAAAAUCAGCUGAUAUAUGCUUCCUUAAACGAUAACAAGAAGAAAAAUCAUCUGAACGAUGGGUCCGACACAAGACCGAUCCGAAAUCGCGUUCUUCGACGUAGAAACAACGGUUCCGACCCGACCUGGCCAGCGCUUCGCCAUUUUGGAAUUCGGAGCAAUUUUAGUUUGUCCCAAAAAGCUCGAGGAGCUCCACAACUACUCCACUCUGGUCCGACCCGCCGACCCGUUGCUUAUCUCCUCUCUCUCCGUACGCUGUAACGGCAUCACUCCAGACGCCGUCGUUUCCGCCCCUACUUUCGCCGAUAUCGCCGAUACAGUCUUCGACAUUCUCCAUGGUCCGUUGAAAGCUCUCAUUUUUUUCUUUCAAUUUUUGUAAUACUAUUUGUUCUUUUUAACUUAGAUUUUUAUUUAUUUAUUGUUGUUUAUACAGGAAGGAUAUGGGCGGGUCAUAAUAUACUGAGGUUUGAUUGUGCGAGAAUAAGAGAGGCGUUUGCGGAGAUCGGACUGCCGGCGCCGGAGCCCAAGGGGACGAUUGACUCGUUGGCAUUGCUGACGCAGAGAUUUGGAAGGAGAGCUGGUGACAUGAAAGUAAAUAUCUGUUAGCUUUGGAUUACUAUGAUGUUAUGUUCAAGUGUUUGUGGGUGCCAACGAUUUUAGCGUUUGUGUUUUUUUCAAUGUUUUGCUUGUGUGCCUUUUCUGUUAUUAUUAAGUGCUAUCAUUUUUAAUGCUGCCUGAUGAAAUCACUGGCUGUCUGGUAAAAGUGGAUUGAAGCACUUUAGCUGCUUUGCUUUUAAAGUUUUGUUGAAGCACGACAGUUACCUAUGUUUGGAUGGAGGGAAGGAGAAGAGAAAAAGAAACUAGGGAAGUUUCUUUGGGAGGGACAGAAGAAGAACUAAAUUAAAGCUUUCAACUGUAUGGUUUCACUGCAAUUGAAGUGAGGAGAAAUUCAUUUGUUGUCAAUUAGAUCUUAUGACUAUGUGUUAAUUUGUUAGUUUGGCCUUGUUCUUUCUGCCUAUACCGUGAAAGGAUUGGGCUUGGAAUGAUGGCACAUGCACAACAUUGCCCUUCUUUCAUUGAUUUUUCGAGCCAAACCGGAGAAAUUCCUCCCUAUCUCCUUCCCUCUCAUUAUUAUUUUUUAGCCAAUCACUGUUUUUUGCUUUUUCCAAAACAAUAUUUGGACCCUUUUAUGGCUUAAGACAUGUCAAAGAGGUGGAGCUUUCUUUGUUUAAUCUAUUUAAGUUUGAACCUUAUUGGAUAAAUUUUGAGAAACUUGUGAACAUUGAAGGUGCCAACACAGCGUUUUAGCCUGUAAAGAAUCGUGCAAUUGGGUUUCUGUUCUGUCACAUUUGUUAAUAAAACAAGAGUUGAUGAAUUUUGUGUGCAAUUUACAGUUAUGGCAUUAUGGUUUUAUACUUUUCAUAUGUGAUAACUGUUUACUUCUUGAUGCUGAUAUGUUAAUAUCUGUGCAGAUGGCCUCCCUUGCAACCUAUUUUGGCCUUGGACAGCAGACUCAUAGGUAUUUUUACAGACUGCAAGGAGUUAUGUUGCUUGCUCUUGCCUUGAAAUAAUACUUUUUUCUACAAUCUUUCAGGAGCUUGGAUGAUGUACGAAUGAAUCUUGAAGUUCUCAAGUAUUGUGCAACUGUUUUGUUCUUGGUAAUCUCUUGUUGGAAAAGCAUUGAGAUCUGGCUUCUUCUUGAAUGAUAGAAAUUGAUAGCUUUCAGAUGUCAUAAUAUUCCUGUAUAACAUACUUGUAAUGUUAAGCUUUGACUCAAUUUCGGUCCGAUGAGUAUGAUAUGCUUUCUUGCUAGUUGAUCUUAUUAUAACAUGUUUUCUUAAAGAUAGUGCAUAUUGCUUCCAAAAGUACAGCUUUUCUGAAGUUUGAUGAUAGAUGAAGACCCUCUAGGAGACUAGGAAGUUCAAUGUUUAGCUACAAUGCCUCUGAAGUUUACUUUGGUUUAUACAUAAUCCAGACCCCACCACCCUUGGAUAACAUCAUGCACUUCAAUUUUGUUUUGUACCUACGGCUAUCAAUUGGUGGCAUAUAAGUUUGCAAUAGUUUUUCAACUAUCCCAAUUACUUUUUGGCCAUCAAAUUUUGUAAGAUGAUUAAAUGCAGCUUAUGCUGAGAUGUGGAAUGCUUGCACUCUGAUUGCUCAUAAUCGAUAACUUUUGAGUUCUUGUAUAUUUUAGGCUUAUCUUGUUUUACCCAUAAAUGACAUCUGAUUGAGAGUUUAGUGGGGUGGCUGAUGGAUUUGCAUGUUUCAUAAGAUUUCUUGUGUAACAAUUAACCAGAAAUUGCCAUAUUCACAGGAAUCAAGCCUCCCAGACAUAUUCACUGUGAACAGUUGGGUUUCCCCAAAUGCUACUACAAGAAGUCGUAGUAAUGCUAAAUCAUCUCCUGAGGGGACAAGCCAAAACCUCAGUACUCCCUCUUCAAAAUUUAAGUUUGAAAAUGCUUCAAAUGCGUCUCCCCCAGAUCAAGGAAAGGAGGAAAUUCAUCCAAUAUUUUCUCUUGUGACUCAAGGAACUGCGGAGGUGGACUCCGUUCUGGCUGGAACUACUGCUGAUCAACCCAAUCCUUUUGACAUGAACCAACUCAGCAAUCAGAUGGAGACUCAAUCUCUUCAACCAGAUGACACCAUGGAAGAUAAAUCAGCGCCAGAGUCUCAUGAGAUGUGUUCCAUGGCAUCUGUGUCUGAGGGUUCAAGUGGUUAUGCUGGAUUUAUGGAGCCUGAUGAAGUUUCCCUCUCCUCCAUCAGUGAUGGUGUUGUCCCAUUGUUUCCUGGGAGUCAAAUUCAAAAAAUUAAAUUAUUGCACAAUGAUGUUAUUUUGCAGCUUUGUUGUUCCCGUUUGAAAAUACGUUUUGGAAUAAGCACAAAGUUUGUUGAUCAGGCUGGCCGGCCACGGUUGAGCUUUGUGGUUGACAUAGCUCAAAGUCUAUGCACAGUUCUUGAUGCAUGUGAAGUCAUUGUGAGGAAAUUGGUUGAAGAUUCUGGUAGCAGCUCUGAAUGGAGGCAUGUUGUGACCAGAAAAGGUGGUUUCUUCAACCAUCCUACAGCAAGAUUGCAGUAAGUUUUCCCUCCAUUUUCAAUUCCAUAUAUUUCCGUUCCGGCAAGAAAAUGAAUAGAAUUACAGUCUAAGGGAAUUAAAAUUCUGAUAUACAUCAUUUUCCUACAGCAAGAAUUUAGGAUACCGUGGUAUGUUUAUUUUGAUAUCUCUAGUUGCAUCUUAGGUGUAAAAGAUUAUAUAAUAAUAGGGAAAAUGGAUAGCCAGCCCUAUAUGUUUGGAUGUUCAUUUUUCCAUGCACAUGGAUUUUGGGCAUGUAGUUUAUUUCAUUUUGCUUUAUUAACUAUUAGCUUUUAGAUUGUUUUCAUGAUUCAUGCGGUACUGGUUAAGUACAAAAAUGGAUCGGUACAAAAGUUUGUAGUAGUUUUGAAGAUAAAGAUGGAAGUCAAUAUUGAAAUCUCUUUUUGGCAUAACACCAUCUAUGGCAAGCAAAUGAAACAUUAAUGUUCUGUUUAAGUGGAAUUAGAAAUGAAGCAUCAACAUGAAAUUAAGAGUCUCCUUGCUUUUACAAACAUUGGUCUAUUGAAAAUACAUGAGAUGGAUUAUGUUUUGCCAACCUUUUUGCAGCAUACCUACUGUAGUAUUCGGGAAUGUUGCUCAGUAUGCUACAGAAAUGUACCAGAAAGAAGCAUCUGGCACCAUUCAGAAGCUUGUGUUCGUUAAAUUUGAUGCAGCAGAACUCGAUUCCUUGUUAAAACCAGGGACCUUUGUGGAUGCAUUCCUGUCCUUAGAUCCAUAUGACUAUCAGCAGAGUGCAGGCAUCCGAUUGGUGGCCAAAAAAUUGAUUAUUCAUUCCGAAUAACAGGAGGAAAAGAACCUUUCGGAGGAUCAGCAUUUGAUGGUU
Molecule: long non-coding RNA, 8681 nt
Filed under: Citrus x clementina
Lineage: Eukaryota; Viridiplantae; Streptophyta; Magnoliopsida; Sapindales; Rutaceae
Description: Citrus clementina (C. clementina) long non-coding RNA (CCLE_LNC003958)
Source: RNAcentral